CUCUAACUUGUGUCAAGUUGACAAAAAGCUCCCUUGCUUGGUCCUAGUCAAGAUUUAAACCUAGCAUUUGGAGCUAUGGAUGGUGUGUGUGUGUGUGUGUGUGUGUGUGUGUGUGUGUGUUACAGACGGCAUGUGCAUGCAUGGUACUGGUUAAGCAUGAGCCACGGCAUCCUUGCAUUUGCUGACAUCCAAGAUCCUCCCUGGUAGCCAAGAAAGCAGUCAGACUGACUGUUCAGCAUCAGCUGUCCAGGGCAAGGGACAACACUGUACCACUCAGCUGACAGAGAAGGUGAAAUGGUGGCUUUUAUGUGUCGGCUGUCACAGCAUGAUGAGCAAGGAAGGGCAGGGCUGAGGCUAGCAGUCCUCCUCUUUGGCAUCUUGCUUCAACCCCGCCUUUUUGCAGGUUACUCUGUCCCGUGCACACACCGCUUGACCAUCCUGACAGCCCUGAAUGAUGGCAACAUUUCCCAUCCCUGAGGAACAGCGUGCACACACUUUUAACCACCGAGCCGUCUCGGAUCCUCUGGCUGCCAAGGCUCAGCUGGGUGGUGGUUCUGCUCUCUGGGGCUGGAUCACUUGUGGGUUGCUGUCAGCUGGGGCUCAGCUGGGCUGGAAGUUCAAGAAGCCCCCGUCUGUCUGUCGAUGUUUCUCUCUGUGGUCAUACUCCAUGAGGUAUGUGAACUUAUUUACAACACGGUGCUUGCCUGCUGUAAGGCAAGCCCUGGUUUUCAUGAACUCAUCAAACUAUUGCUCCUUCUAUAUUUGUGAGUGUCUUAUUGGCUAACACAAAUCACGUGGUUGGUCCAGGCAUGAAUGUGCAAAGGGAUUCAUGGCAUUUGAGAAAUGGAAGGUAGGUGUCAUUGGGACCGUAGACGCUGCAGUCCGGCACAGCCAUUUUCCUCUUUCUUGAGAAGUCACCCAGACACUCCACAGAACAGAUAGCACAGCAGUCAUGGGAAACAUCUGAGUUUCUGGCCGCGGAGCUUCUGCCUCAGAACAGUGUGCAUCUUUCAACUGGG
RNAcentral lists this long non-coding RNA (1019 nucleotides) under Cricetulus griseus (Chinese hamster). RNAcentral's name for it is "lncRNA (ENSCGRG00015036659.1)". Lineage: Eukaryota; Metazoa; Chordata; Mammalia; Rodentia; Cricetidae. The record is from RNAcentral.